CAUUACUGACACUGAGGAGCGAAAGCGUGGGGAGCGAACAGGAUUAGAUACCCUGGUAGUCCACGCCGUAAACGGUGGGCACUAGUUGUGGGGACCUUCCACGGUCUCUGCGACGCAGCUAACGCAUUAAGUGCCCCGCCUGGGGAGUACGAUCGCAAGAUUAAAACUCAAAGGAAUUGACGGGGCCCCGCACAAGCAGCGGAGCAUGCGGCUUAAUUCGACGCAACGCGAAGAACCUUACCAAGGCUUGACAUAUACAGGAAUAUGGCAGAGAUGUCAUAGCCGCAAGGUCUGUAUACAGGUGGUGCAUGGUUGUCGUCAGCUCGUGUCGUGAGAUGUUGGGUUAAGUCCCGCAACGAGCGCAACCCUCGUUCUGUGUUGCCAGCAUUUAGUUGGGGACUCACAGGAGACUGCCGGGGUUAACUCGGAGGAAGGUGGGGAUGACGUCAAAUCAUCAUGCCCCUUAUGUCUUGGGCUGCACGCAUGCUACAAUGGCUGGUACAAACGGCUGCAAUACCGCAAGGUGGAGCGAAUCCGAGAAAGCCAGUCUCAGUUCGGAUUGGGGUCUGCAACUCGACCCCAUGAAGUCGGAGUUGCUAGUAAUCGUAGAUCAGCAACGCUACGGUGAAUACGUUCCCGGGGCUUGUACACACCGCCCGUCACGUCACGAAAGUCGGUA
Molecule: ribosomal RNA, 679 nt
Filed under: uncultured Actinomycetes bacterium
Lineage: Bacteria; Bacillati; Actinomycetota; Actinomycetes
Description: bacterial SSU rRNA
Rfam family: Bacterial small subunit ribosomal RNA
Source: RNAcentral